RNAcentral lists this ribosomal RNA (453 nucleotides) under uncultured Sphingomonas sp. RNAcentral's name for it is "bacterial SSU rRNA". It matches the Rfam family "Bacterial small subunit ribosomal RNA", at positions 9 to 507 of the family's 1533-position model. Lineage: Bacteria; Pseudomonadati; Pseudomonadota; Alphaproteobacteria; Sphingomonadales; Sphingomonadaceae. The record is from RNAcentral.
GUAGUUUGAUCCUGGCUCAGAAUGAACGCUGGCGGCAUGCCUAACACAUGCAAGUCGAACGAGAUCUUCGGAUCUAGUGGCGCACGGGUGCGUAACGCGUGGGAAUCUGCCCUCAGGUUCGGAAUAACAGCGAGAAAUUGCUGCUAAUACCGGAUGAAGACUUCGGUCCAAAGAUUUAUCGCCUGAGGAUGAGCCCGCGUAGGAUUAGCUAGUUGGUGUGGUAAAGGCGCACCAAGGCGACGAUCCUUAGCUGGUCUGAGGGGAUGAUCAGCCACACUGGGACUGAGACACGGCCCAGACUCCUACGGGAGGCAGCAGUGGGGAAUAUUGGACAAUGGGGGAAACCCUGAUCCAGCAAUGCCGCGUGAGUGAUGAAGGCCUUAGGGUUGUAAAGCUCUUUUACCCGGGAUGAUAAUGACAGUACCGGGAGAAUAAGCCCCGGCUAACUCCGUG